CAGCCGCCACGGUAAUACAGAGGGUGCGAGCGUUAAUCGGAUUUACUGUGCGUAAAGCGUGCGUAGGCGGCUUCUUAAGUCGGAUGUGAAAUCCCUGAGCUUAACUUAGGAAUUGCAUUCGAUACUGGGAAGCUAGAGUAUGGGAGAGGAUGGUAGAAUUCCAGGUGUAGCGGUGAAAUGCGUAGAGAUCUGGAGGAAUACCGAUGGCGAAGGCAGCCAUCUGGCCUAAUACUGACGCUGAGGUACGAAAGCAUGGGGAGCAAACAGGAUUAGAUACCCCCGUAGUCCCUGUCUCUUAUAC
RNAcentral lists this ribosomal RNA (301 nucleotides) under uncultured bacterium. Its description in RNAcentral is "partial 16S ribosomal RNA". It matches the Rfam family "Bacterial small subunit ribosomal RNA", at positions 509 to 807 of the family's 1533-position model. The record is from RNAcentral.